This 30-nucleotide non-coding RNA is filed under the name Rattus norvegicus (Norway rat). The record is from RNAcentral. Lineage: Eukaryota; Metazoa; Chordata; Mammalia; Rodentia; Muridae.
UACUGGAACAGGAUCUCCAUUGUGGCUGGU